This 427-nucleotide ribosomal RNA is filed under the name uncultured bacterium. Its description in RNAcentral is "partial 16S ribosomal RNA". It matches the Rfam family "Bacterial small subunit ribosomal RNA", at positions 355 to 774 of the family's 1533-position model. The record is from RNAcentral.
UGGGGAAUAUUGGACAAUGGGCGAAAGCCUGAUCCAGCCAUGCCGCGUGUGUGAAGAAGGUCUUCGGAUUGUAAAGCACUUUAAGUUGGGAGGAAGGGUUGUAGAUUAAUACUCUGCAAUUUUGACGUUACCGACAGAAUAAGCACCGGCUAACUCUGUGCCAGCAGCCGCGGUAAUACAGCGGGUGCAAGCGUUAAUCGGAAUUACUGGGCGUAAAGCGCGCGUAGGUGGAUAGUUAAGUUGGAUGUGAAAGCCCCGGGCUCAACCUGGGAACUGCAUUCAAAACUGACUGACUAGAGUAUGGUAGAGGGUGGUGGAAUUUCCUGUGUAGCGGUGAAAUGCGUAGAUAUAGGAAGGAACACCAGUGGCGAAGGCGACCACCUGGACUGAUACUGACACUGAGAUGCGAAAGCGUGGGGAGCAAACA